RNAcentral lists this ribosomal RNA (447 nucleotides) under uncultured bacterium. Its description in RNAcentral is "bacterial SSU rRNA". It matches the Rfam family "Bacterial small subunit ribosomal RNA", at positions 355 to 825 of the family's 1533-position model. The record is from RNAcentral.
UCGGGAAUUUUGGGCAAUGGGCGAAAGCCUGACCCAGCAACGCCGCGUGAAGGAUGAAAUCUUUCGGGAUGUAAACUUCGGAAGAAUAGGAAGAAUAAAAUGACGGUACUAUUUUAAGGUCCGGCUAACUACGUGCCAGCAGCCGCGGUAAUACGUAGGGACCAAGCGUUGUUCGGAUUUACUGGGCGUAAAGGGCGCGUAGGCGGCGUAAUAAGUCACUUGUGAAAUCUCCGGGCUUAACUCGGAGCGGCCAAGUGAUACUGUUAGGCUAGAGUGCAGAAAGGGCAAUCGGAAUUCUUGGUGUAGCGGUGAAAUGCGUAGAUAUCAAGAGGAACACCUGAGGUGAAGACGGGUUGCUGGGCUGACACUGACGCUGAGGCGCGAAAGCCAGGGGAGCAAACGGGAUUAGAUACCCUGGUAGUCCCUGAGCGGGCUGGCAAGGCGCAU